GUAAUACUUUCCCCUACCAUUUGAUGAUAUUUUUUGCUGGUCCAGAUGAGUGAGUCACCAUCUCAAGAGGAACCCAAACCUGCUCAGGAAAAUGGAGAAGAAAACAAAGAAAGGAAACAGGAAGCAACUAACAGGAAUGAGCCUAUUGAGAGUUCACAGAGUUCAGCACCGAGUUCUGCAUUAGAUUUCAACAAAGAUGGGGAAGAAGAAACAACAGAUGAAAUCAA
Long non-coding RNA from Myotis brandtii (Brandt's bat), 227 nucleotides. RefSeq lists it as uncharacterized. The record is from RefSeq and is a predicted model, not a curated record. The transcript is spliced from 3 exons. Lineage: Eukaryota; Metazoa; Chordata; Mammalia; Chiroptera; Vespertilionidae.